GGAGUUGUAGCUCAGUGGUAGAGCGCUCACCUAGUGCAGGUGAGGCACUAGGUUCGAUCCUCAGCACCA
RNAcentral lists this transfer RNA (69 nucleotides) under Ictidomys tridecemlineatus (thirteen-lined ground squirrel). RNAcentral's name for it is "Spermophilus tridecemlineatus (thirteen-lined ground squirrel) tRNA". It matches the Rfam family "tRNA". From Rfam's summary of the family: Transfer RNA (tRNA) molecules are approximately 80 nucleotides in length. Their secondary structure includes four short double-helical elements and three loops (D, anti-codon, and T loops). The record is from Rfam by way of RNAcentral. Lineage: Eukaryota; Metazoa; Chordata; Mammalia; Rodentia; Sciuridae.